UGAGUAACCUGCCCUGGACUUUGGGAUAACCCUCGGAAACGGGGGCUAAUACCGGAUAUGACGGCUCACCGCAUGGUGUGGUUGUGGAAAGUUUUUCGGUCUGGGAUGGGCUCGCGGCCUAUCAGCUUGUUGGUGGGGUGAUGGCCUACCAAGGCGACGACGGGUAGCCGGCCUGAGAGGGCGACCGGCCACACUGGGACUGAGACACGGCCCAGACUCCUACGGGAGCA
RNAcentral lists this ribosomal RNA (230 nucleotides) under uncultured bacterium. RNAcentral describes it as "partial 16S ribosomal RNA". It matches the Rfam family "Bacterial small subunit ribosomal RNA", at positions 118 to 347 of the family's 1533-position model. The record is from RNAcentral.